UGGCACAAAAUCACAGAUCCUGAGCACAGAUCCUGCUUAUGUAAAGGCUGUGAUAUAGCAACGAGUUUGAGCUGCAUCCUGACAAGACAGAACUGCUUCAGGAGCAAAACCCAAUCUUAUUCCAGUCCCUGCCUGAGAAAACGCUGUUGCUGAUGUCCAGCGCUUGAGAAGGACCCCAGAACAUGGUCUGGUGGCAGCCACCAAACUCCUCUGCAAACAGGCCCACCCAGAGUCCUUGUGGAAGAGGAGGCCGGGAUGACAGACCGGCAAAUCACAGGCAUUUAGAAGAAGUCAGAGGAACAGUGCACAGUGAAGGUCUAGCUGGCUCCCUGCUCCUGUCCCCUCUGCACUACCUGCUCGCUGAAGCCACUGCUGGAUCUCUCCUAAACAACAAAG
Molecule: long non-coding RNA, 396 nt
Organism: Strigops habroptila (Kakapo)
Lineage: Eukaryota; Metazoa; Chordata; Aves; Psittaciformes; Psittacidae
Exons: 3
Source: RefSeq, a predicted model, not a curated record